GACGAAGCAGUAUUGUUCCUACAUAUGAUUUGAACCAUUUUACUAAUGAAUUAUGGGCAUUUUUGUUGCCUACUAUUCUCCAGCAAGUCUUAGUUGAGUUGACAAAUGACCCCAAGCUUGUUUAUCACUGUGGAUUGACACCAAAAAAGCUACCGGAACUGGUGGAGAACAAUCCCCUCAUUGCAGUUGAAGUGCUCAUUAAGUUGAUGAAUUCACCUGAAAUUUCAGAAUAUUUUACAGUCCUUGUCAGUAUGGAUAUGAGUUUACAUUCAAUGGAAGUUGUGAAUAGGCUUACUACAGCUGUUGAGCUUCCCACAGAAUUUGUACACA
Non-coding RNA from Camellia sinensis, 330 nucleotides. The record is from RefSeq and is a predicted model, not a curated record. NCBI's taxonomy places the organism in Eukaryota, Viridiplantae, Streptophyta, Magnoliopsida, Ericales, Theaceae.